This is a long non-coding RNA of Taeniopygia guttata (zebra finch), 2097 nucleotides long. The record is from Ensembl. NCBI's taxonomy places the organism in Eukaryota, Metazoa, Chordata, Aves, Passeriformes, Estrildidae.
AUGACAGGGAUACAGAGAUGUCCCUCAGGAGGUGACAAGGACACGGGGUGUCCCCAGGAGGUGACAGGACAUGGAGAUGUCACCAUGGAGGUGACAAGGACAUGGGGAUGUCCCUCAGGAGGUGACAAGGACACGGGCAUCGCUCUGGGCCUGCUGGGGACAUCCUUUGUCACAUUCCCAUUUUUUCCCUUUUCCUUCUUUGUCCUCCUUUACCCCAUUUCCCCCUUUUCUCUCCCUUAUUCCUCCUUUUCCUGUUUCCUCCUUUUCCCCUUUCCCCUUUUCCCUUUCCCUUUCUCUUUCCCUUUCCCUUUCCCCUUUCCCUUUCCCUUUCCCUUUUUUUUCCCCUUUUCCCUUUCCCCUUUUCCCUUUCCUUUCCCCUUUCCCUUUCCCUUCCUUUCCCUUUCCCUUUCCCUUUCCCUUUCCCUUCCCCUUUUCCCUUUUCCCUUUUCCCUUUUCCCUUUCCCUUUUCCCCUUUACUUUUCCCCUUUCUGUUUUCCCUUUUGUCUUUUCCUUUUCCCUCAUUUCGCUCUUUCCCCCUUUCCCCCCUUCUCCCCCUUUCUCCCCUUUCCCCUUUCCCUUUUCCCCUCCUUUUCCCCCUUUCCCUUUCCCCUUUUUCCCCUCUUUCCCCUUUUUCCCCUUUUCCCCUUCUUCCCCUUUCCCUCCUUUUCCCCCUUUCCCUUUCCCCUUUUUCCCUUUUUUCCCCUUUUCCCCUUUUUCACCUUUUCCCUCCUUUUCCCCAUUUCCCCUUUCCCCUUUCCCUUUCCCUUUCCCUUUCCCUUUUCCCCCUUUUCUCCUUUUCCCUUUUCCCCUUUUUCCCUAUUUCCCCUUUUUUUUUCCAUUUCCCCUUUUCCCCCUUUCCCCUUUCCCUUUUUCCCCUUUACUUUUUUUUCCCCUUUUUUCCCCCUUUCCCCCCUUCCCCCCUUUUCCCCCUUUUCCCUUUUCCCCCUUUUCUCCUUUUCCCUUUUUUCCCCUUUUCCCCUUUUUCACCUUUUCCCCCCUUUUCCCCAUUUUCCCUUUCCCUUUCCCUUUCCCUUUCCCUUUCCCUUUCCCUUUCCCUUUCCCCUUUUCCCCCUUUUGUCCUUUUCCCUUUUCCCCCUUUUGUCCUUUUCCCUUUUCCCCCUUCCCUUUUUCCCCUUUCCUUUUUUCCCCCCUUUUACCCCUUUCCCCUUUCCCCCUUUCCCCCCUUUUCCCUUUUCCCCCUUUCCCUUUUUCCCCCCCUUUUUCCCCUUUUCCCCCCUUUUUUCCCUUUUCCCCCUUUUUCCCCUUUUCCCCCUUUUUCCCCAUUUCCCCUUUCCCCUUUUCUUUCCCCUUUUCCCCCUUUCCCCUUUUUUUCUUUCCCCUUUCCCCUUUCCCUUUUCCCCCCCUUUUCCCCUUUUCCCCCCUUUUCCUCGUUAUCCCCCUUCCCCCUUUUUCCCCUUUCCCCUUUUCUUUUCCAUUUCCCCUUUCCCUUUCCCUUUCUCUUUACCCCCUUUCUCCUUUUCCCCCCUUCCCCCCUUCCCCCCUUCCCCCUUCCCCCCUUUCCCCCUUUUCCUCCUUUUCCCCCUUUUCUCCUUUCCCUUUCCCUUUCUGUUUCCCUUUCCCCUUUCCCCCUUUCCCCUUUUCCCUUCCCCUUUCCCUUUUUCACUUUCCAUUUUUGCCUUCACUUUUCCCCAUUUCCCUUCUCCCUUCUCCCUUCCCCUUUCCCCUCUUUCCCCUCUUUCCCCCUUUUCCCCUUUCCCCUUUUCUCCUUUUCCCCCUUUCCCCGUUCCCCUUUUCCCCUUUCCCCUUUCCCUUUUUCCCCUUUCCUCUUUUUCUCCUUUUCCCCCUUUCCCCCCAUUUCUCCUUUCCCCUUUCCUUUUCCCCUUUCCCCUUUUCUUUUCCCUUUUCCCCUUUUCCCCUUUUCCCCUUUUCCCCUUUUCCCCUUUUCCCCUUUUCCCCUUUUCCCCUUUUCCAUUUCCCCUUCCUCUUUCAAUUUCCCUUUCCCCCUUUUCCCUUUUCUCCCUUUUCCCCUUUCCUGUUUUCCCCUUUCCUUUUUUCCCCUCCUUUUUCCCCCUUUCCCCCCUUUUCCCCUUUCCCCCCUUUCCCCCUUUUUCCCCCUUUCCCCUUUUCCCGCCCUGA